AUAAAGCUGACGAGUCCCAAAUGGGACGAAACUCGUGUCGUGCAU
Molecule: non-coding RNA, 45 nt
Filed under: Schistosoma haematobium
Lineage: Eukaryota; Metazoa; Platyhelminthes; Trematoda; Strigeidida; Schistosomatidae
Source: RNAcentral